UUUUUUUUUGGUUAGAUCCUGGCAAACAAUCACUUUUGAUAAACAGCCUGCAUCUUUUAUCAGAAUAGUUGGAACUCAGAACACAGCUAAUGAGGUGUUUCACUGUGUGCAUUUUGAGUGCCCUGCACAAAGUGGUACCCACAAGGAUGAGGGUUGUAAGGAAGUGGCAACGACAGAGGUGGGGACUGGUGAACAACAGCUUGUUUCUCGUCCUGUUCGAGCUGCAAGCACUAGUUCUUUGCAUUCCCCUCCUGGAUCCACCUUGCGUUCGCAUGCUCACCAACCGUAAAGGAGAUUGAAAGGGAGCUUUUGCUGCCCCACUGACAUUAUAUAAAAUUAUUCAGAACCUUCUUGUGCUGGCACCUUUUCUUUCUUCUUCACUGUGAAGAAAGGGGACCAUGUCUUAUAAUGCUGAAAUGGCAAAGGCUUUUCCCAAGGACAUGAAGAGACUGCUUCACUCUUCUCAAUUUGUUCAAAUCAGGCUGGUCUCCAAAGGGGGAGAAAAUAGGUCUUCAAUCUUCAUCAAGUACCCCAUUAACACCUUACCUCUCUAAUCUAACCAAGGCAAGGAGAACAGAAGAAAAUAAAAGGCAGAGCUACAAUGAAAAUCUAAGAUGACUUGAGCAGAAUGGAAGGCAUAUGAAAUAACUAUUUGUUCCCUGAAGGCUUCCAUUAGCAAAGAAAAUGUUUAUGGAACACAUCAGUACAGAAUAUGUGUUAUUUUUGAAAGUUAUUCUUCAUUCAUAUUCCUUUGUAACUAGUAAUCUCUUUCAAAAAUUGUUUUAACUCUGCAUCCUGCUUUCUCUCUUAUUUUUGGCUGCAGCAAAUGCUGUGCAGUAGAUUAAGGAAAUAUCAAACAUGUUUACCUGCUGAGAUGCAAAUUCCCUCAUUCAUCAGUGGGAUGUCAAGAAAAGCCUUUAUGAUAUCAACAAACUAAUUAAUGGAUGCUGUAUUAAUCUUGACCCUAGUCAGCUUUUCAAAGCACAAAAUUGUCAUUUCUUAUAGUCAAAAGGAAAAUUUUGAAAUCAAACUUCUAUCUUGAGAAAAGCUUAUUUUUCACUCAUGAAGGUGAUUACUUAAAUUUUACUCAUAUUUCUAAGACAACUUGCAACAGAUCAUCAAAAAUAUUUGAUCUAGAAAGUGAAAAUUCAUCUGGUCACUGACAAGCAUUUGUUCAGAAUACAAAGGAAAGAAUUUGCAUAAAGCUAUUUUUAUCCAAGAAAUUAUGCUUUACAGCCUGGAUCUAAAAAUUUAAGGGCCACACAUAAACUUUCUCAUAGUCUUCAUAGAGUGUUAUGCUUUUACACUGUAUUGUAAGGGAUCUGGCUCUCAUUUUACAUCACAGAAUUAAUUAUCCAUCCAUGUGUGUAUUAAAUUGCUUACUACUUCACUUAUUCUACAUGCUUACACAUCAAUGAGAUUGCAACCUUUCGCUUUCCAGAUCCAGAUGACUUAAGAAAAGCUCCUUGUUGGUCUUUCAGUAUGUGAAGAAGUGUUUUGUAUUAUGACAAACACUGAUGUAAUUGACAAAAUUGAUUAGGAGGAUUGUUAUUCCUCUCAAAGCAUAUGCUGAAAAUGUCAGCCAUCCAGUUUUAUGAACAUGGAAUUUCCUGCGGUGACAGAUAGCCUUGUCAGAAGAAAACAAAGCUAGUAUAGGAUAAAUAUGGUUUUCCUUUGCAUUACCAUAGUGAUAAAAUGAGCUACAUAUCAAUAUAGCAAAUAGUAUGCUAAUUUAUCACAAUAUGUAAUUUGAAAGAAUUUCCCUGCUGUGUGCUGGUUGUGCUUAAAACUGGAAGAAAUACAACAAAUGGCAGCAAUGAAUCAGUAGAAACAUCAUAGGAGAAAUGCUUUCUCUUUGUUGUUUCCAAUAAAAUUGACUAGACUUCAUCAAGAAUAUUACAGUAUUUUCCCACUGUUGUUGUCUGUCUUGUGAUGUCUGUCAGUGAAGAUGCAUGCAACUUCAUUGUCUAUCAUUUUUAAUACAUGCCAUGGCUGCCUCAUGCAGCCUUGAGUUCUGAGGCAGGAUCUUGCUUAUGAGCCAGCGCCCAGUCUUGGUUGCCGAUUACCUUAUGGCUUAGAAGCCUUUGGAGCAUGAAACAAUUGAGACUAGCUACUGGGGAUGCAAUUGUUUUGUGUAAGUAUAGGUCCAAAAAGUUGGAUUUUUUUUUUUUUUUUGAAAAGUAAAAACAAAAAGAUCUAUUCUAGUUGUAGUACAUGUCGAAACUUACUGAGAUGAAUGGAGCAUGUCUUGUCUUUGGUAGUUAAGACCUUUCGUGUCAGUGAUGAUAUUUCUCUGCAGUUUGAUCAAACAAAUGUACUUUUUCAAGUUGUGGACACGCAAGGGGUGUAACCUAGCUGCUAGUCAUUGUUAUAGAAAAUAUUUAAUUAUUAAAAAAAACAAAAGACAAAAAAACAAGAAAAAGAAGUUUGUGCCAGAUGUUCUGAGUUUAGGCGCUCAGAGAAAGAACAGGAUUUUCAGUUUGUAAUCUUUGAUGUGCACAAUUAAUUUUUUGGAUACUAAUAAGCCUUACAGACCAUACGCUACUGCAGAUUCUUUUUGAUCUUGCUCUGUGACUCACUGCUGACGAAAAAUGUCGAUUUAUUUCCCAUGACAUUAGUGCUCUGCCAAGAAUCUGAAUGAAAAGAUAAGAGAAUCUCAAAGCAAAAAGAAUCAGGUCCUAUAGAAAUUCUAAUUCCCACCCCCAAAAAUCAUUCAAAACAAAAGCCAGUAUAGCACUGUCCUUUCUUACAGUCUUUAUCCCUUCCACAACUUAACAAUUUCUACCUUUUCAUUCAAAGAAAUAGUGUCUAAGGGACCUGAACUUUGCUUGUUCUUCUAACAUUAUCCACCCUCAAACACCCCCAAAAUCUUUGUGGCCUAGUAUAGUCUCUGCCUUAAACACAGUGCCAGCAAAAUAUUACUACUGGCAAAGGAUAAUAUCACACAGGACUGACCUGUGCUUUUGUGUGAGUAUUCUCAUGCUUUCUAAGCAUUCUCUGCAUUUAUUAACUCCUAAUAUGAGAUGUAGCUCUUGAAUGUUCUUCUGAAAUCUAGGUUUUUUUUCUUGCAGUGGAAAUAAAUUGUGCUGUUAUGGCUUAAUAUCAGGGCACUUAUAAACAUCAGGGUUUAACUGAGUCAUGAGAUACUAUAAUUAUUCAGAACUGCAUGAUCACUUUCUUUAAUUACAACAGAGGUUGAGGAGAACUGACCAGCUGUUCAUUGCAUUCUUGUCAGAAACUAUAAGACAGACCUGUUGUCAGCUUUCUAGACAAUGGAAUUAAUUGUAUUGCCAAUUCUGAACCAUUUUGUCUAGUUAGUACUUCAGCUGUAGUUAUCAUUAUCUUUAAACUCCCUUGUCCUCUUUUUCUCUUAUUUUUCUUCCAUUGAUUGAAUUCAGACUUAGGGCCAACUCAUAUGUAGCUUCUAAAUUCUCUUUAUUUAAUGAACUAGUCCCAAGUAAAUUUUAAAGAUUUUUAUUCACAGAAAUCUGUGUGACCAAAAAUUAACUUCAGCAACAGUAAAUUCAGUAUUUGUAAAACUGAUUUAUAUGUGAAAAUGAAUUUCUAAAGUAAGCAAAAAUUGUGCAGUUCUGCUUUCAAACAAACUCUAAAACAAGCUUGAAUGACAACAGGAAUGGCAAUGAGAAAUUAAUCCAAGAAUUACAUAAAAGACAGCAGAGAGGAAGAAUCGGCCAGUGUUCUUAGGAAAGCAACUGUUUUUCAUUGCUUUCCUUCCUUUACAGCUCCAUUUAAUCCUUUUUCCAUGCAAAUCUGUUUUGUUUGUUCAAUAUGACAGUUCAUGGUGGAGCUCUGCUGAAAAGUUGAAAUGAACUUAAUGCUUCUUCAUCUUUACUAAUCAUAACAACAAAUCAGAGAGUCUUCAGUUUAUUACCUAACUUGAUUUCCAUGAGAGAAAAGAAAGCAAAUGAUAUCAGUAGUUUUUUCACUUUAACUAAAUUAAGUUUUCUAGCCAAACGCACGUGAGUAUCUACUCACAUGCUUUGUACAUCUGAAGUGUGAAGAUUAGAAGGCAAAGUUAGCGUCAUUUUUGUCUGAUUGUUCCGUGAUCAUUCUGGUUAUACACUGUCACCCACUCAGAGACCCUUGAUAUGGAAUCAGAAUUCAGCUGUGAUUUCAGAGGAAGCAGAAAAGCUAUACAUUGUUUUUCCCCUAAGAAAAUGUUUGUUGGUUUCUAUUUUGACAGGUGAUAACUUACCAUCAAAUUGGCAAAUGAAAGCAUUGGUAAUUUGUUGUUGUGACUGGAGCAGUCAGCAAACACCAGAGCCAGUGGUAUUUAAUGGGGUAUUUAAGAGUAGACAUUUAGGCUUGUAUGUUAUUUUAGCAGUUACUACAGGAUAAAACUGCUUAGAAGAUAGUACUUUGUGGAUCCCAGAAUUCUUGAGGCCUGGCUCCCUUUCCCUUCUCUUAAUCGAUGAUGUGUUUAGGUUAGAAUCCUCAGCUAUCUCUGAACUGGUUCCCAGCAGUUGUACUAGUUAAAUUACAUAUAGAAGCUCCACAGGUUUUGUACAGGAUACAGUUAAUAAAAGUACUGGGUCAAAUUUUUAAUGGAAUACCAUAUUCAUAUCCCAUAUACCAAUUUUAAUUGGAAUACCAUGUUCGUAUAUGUGUUAAAUGGAGCUUAGUAGCUUAUCAUUUAGCUUGAAUUUAGAAUAGGUUCCUAAAACUCCUAAACUGAGAAAAACAGGGUGAAAUGUUAAUAUCUGUGGUAUGGCAGGAUGUGAAAUCACUGUUACGGUUGCUUAAAAUGUGCAAACGUCUAAGUAAGGUAUGGAUGAGCAGGUCCAAAGCUGGUUUGGCCAAAGUUGUUAGGAAUUGGUGAUUUGGCUGUAGUGAAUAAAAGAGAGGAAAUGAGGAAAUCAAAUGCUCAUCUCAAAGACAUUUAUGCAGUCCAAUGAACACAGACAUGUUGCUCCUGGGUGCCUUGCAUGUGACUUGUGCUCUUUACAGAGUGCAUCUCCAUAUGAAUUUUGCUAACUGCUUUGAGAAGUCUGCACCUACAGACUUCUCAAAGGCCGUUCACAAGCUUUAUUGCAGUGUUGACUUAGGUAAUGUAGAAGUCAUACCAAGAGUCCAUGACAGAAUUUGAGUCAGCUUAUCUUUGGAAAUGGUUUUAUUACAGAAACAAAGCCCAGAUUAACAUAAUGUAGUAUAACAUGAGGAAAAUGCUAGUAUCUGGUACUUACACAUAGAUUAACUAGAUUUUCUAAUACUGUAUGUAUUUAAUUACUACGAUAUACAUACAAAUGGUGGAAGUAAGUGAACCACCAGCACUACACUUAGGUAAUACGCCCUUGGUAGUAGAUAUUAUCAGCCCAUCAGGAAAUCAGAGUUUUUCUUUUCCCGCUCCUACCAGCCAAAUAGAACAGCAUAAGUAAAUGUUCAGAAAUAAAAAAGAAUAAUUACUUUGUUACAUAAAUGUCAUGGGAGUUUAGAUUAUCGUCGCUAAAAAUCUGAAGGAGUGGUGACUUCUGUCUGCUUAGGUAUAAAUCUGCCUCCCCAGUGCCUCCUGCUGCUGAAGGCCUUGAGCUUUUGUAGUGGAUGGAGAGCUACACUGUUCGUAGUACAUUUCUUUGUCAGAACUUUUACUCAUCUCUUUUGUGUUUAGCAUCUUGGCAUAUCCAUUCUGUUAGAAGAAGGUAAGCUGGUUUCUCACAGCUUUCAGAGUUACUCAUUGACUCCUGCAGGCUGGCAGAUACAUCUCCGCAGAUGUCUGUAUUAAGCAGUUUGCAAAACUGUUUUACAACAAAUGCUGCGUGUCCAAACAGUGCCAGCUGAUCUUGAAAUAUCUUAAGUUGGGCUGUAUUAUUGUUGAGAUGAGGGUUUGCACCUCUAAAACUCUGUGCCAUGCAAUCCAAGUGAACAGUAGUGGCUGCAGAUUCUUUCUGGAGAGAAAGCAGGGAAUUUGCACACAUACCAGAAAUAAUUCAUUUUCUCUGUGUUGUUUUUGUUCUACAUCCUGUGUCUCUGUACUCCUAAGCUAUCAUUGCUAGGUGGUUUAUGAUUAAAACCUAGAAUCCAAUAAAUAAGUUUAACAAUUGACAUCAAGAACUUUUGUCUUUAAUGAGAAGUUAUAUAUUGUGUUUUUGAAGCAUGAUUUGUCCCCUGAAUUGUUUAUCAGCAUCUUCUAUAGUUGGAGUUGUGAGGAGAAAGGCUGUUAAAUAGUUGCAUGCAUGCAUUUGUUUCACAAGUUGAAGUGACUUGGCAAAAAAGUGUUUUUACAUGCCUUUUUUGUUGUGUGUGUGUAGUGAAUUUUGGCAAGGAAUCUAUAGUUAAACUGAAUGUGGAUGAUGAACUGAGGAAGAGAAUGUAAUGCAGGCAGCAAGAUUUUAUUCAUUUUAAUGGGAAGAGCAACAUGAAGGUCCGAUUCCUGUAGUCUGAGCUACUGCUUGUCUCCUGUCCUCACAGCUCUUACUUUUUCCUACAGGAUUCCCCCAGACUGCCUGUUUCUCCUUUUCUUUUUCUCCCUAUCUGGAAUCAUACUGCUGUUGCUGCAGUGUUUCCUGGAACUUUAAUCUAGAAUAUAUUAAGUAUUUAAAUUUAUUUGAUUUAAAUUUACACCUUUUUUUUUUUUUUUUUGUUAUAUACAGAAUUCAGUAGCCUAGUCCCAGUUCAUUCACAUCAGAUUUAAAAGUCAAUUACUACUGUUAAGAGAUAGUGAGUUUUAAUUUGACUGUCUGUGGAUAUGGAAAAUAUCCACAAACUAGCUGUUUUCAAGUUUCUACUUUCAUAAUCUGAACUCUGUUUUCUUUAAGAGAAAAAUCAGUUGAGAGAUUUUCUGUUGAUUUAAGUGGUAGGUCAGGAUUUGUGUGGGCUUAUCUAAUUUAAAUCAAAUAUAAUUGUGUUUCUUGUUCAUUGUGAUGUUCAUAUAUGUUCAAUUUGUUAGUUGUUCAUUGCUCAAUGUUCCAGUUGUAUAUAAGUAUUGUUUUCUCAAUAAACUGCAUCAUCAAAAGUGAA
Non-coding RNA from Meleagris gallopavo (turkey), 6975 nucleotides. The record is from RefSeq and is a predicted model, not a curated record. NCBI's taxonomy places the organism in Eukaryota, Metazoa, Chordata, Aves, Galliformes, Phasianidae.